This 78-nucleotide transfer RNA is filed under the name Acidobacteriota bacterium. Its description in RNAcentral is "Acidobacteria bacterium tRNA-Arg". It matches the Rfam family "tRNA". From Rfam's summary of the family: Transfer RNA (tRNA) molecules are approximately 80 nucleotides in length. Their secondary structure includes four short double-helical elements and three loops (D, anti-codon, and T loops). RNAcentral also lists the same sequence under 2 other names. The record is from RNAcentral. Lineage: Bacteria; Pseudomonadati; Acidobacteriota.
GUCCGCGUAGCUCAGUUAGAUCAGAGCGCCACCGUGCGAAGGUGGAGGUCGCAGGUGCGAUUCCUGCCGUGGACGCCA